CUGGCACCCAACCUAAGCACUGCCACUGCCGGUAGCGGCUGUUUAAGCUAUACUACACAUGGCAAAGGGGGUUUGUCGCCUUUGGGGGGCUGUGCAGUGCCCCCAGAGUGAAUCAGGAGGUUCUACAGUU
Small nucleolar RNA from Acomys russatus (golden spiny mouse), 130 nucleotides. RefSeq annotates it as small nucleolar RNA SNORA68. The record is from RefSeq and is a predicted model, not a curated record. The transcript has a single exon. NCBI's taxonomy places the organism in Eukaryota, Metazoa, Chordata, Mammalia, Rodentia, Muridae.